Molecule: ribosomal RNA, 253 nt
Filed under: uncultured bacterium
Lineage: Bacteria
Description: partial 16S ribosomal RNA
Rfam family: Bacterial small subunit ribosomal RNA
Source: RNAcentral
UACAGAGGGUGCAAGCGUUGUUCGGAAUUACUGGGCGUAAAGCGCGCGCAGGCGGGUUUGUAAGUCGGAAGUGAAAUCUCACUGCUCAACGGUGGGGCUGCUUCUGAUACUGCAAAUCUUGAGACCGGUAGAGGUUGGUAGAAUUGCAGGUGUAGCGGUGGAAUGCGUAGAGAUGCGGAGGAACACCGAUGGCGAAGGCAGCCUCCUGGGAUAACACUGACGCUCAUGCACGAAAGCGUGGGGAGCAAACAGG